AGUGAACGCUGGCGGUAGGCCUAACACAUGCAAGUCGAACGGCAGCACAGUAAGAGCUUGCUCUUACGGGUGGCGAGUGGCGGACGGGUGAGGAAUACAUCGGAAUCUACUUUUUCGUGGGGGAUAACGUAGGGAAACUUACGCUAAUACCGCAUACGACCUACGGGUGAAAGCAGGGGAUCUUCGGACCUUGCGCGAUUGAAUGAGCCGAUGUCGGAUUAGCUAGUUGGCGGGGUAAAGGCCCACCAAGGCGACGAUCCGUAGCUGGUCUGAGAGGAUGAUCAGCCACACUGGAACUGAGACACGGUCCAGACUCCUACGGGAGGCAGCAGUGGGGAAUAUUGGACAAUGGGCGCAAGCCUGAUCCAGCCAUACCGCGUGGGUGAAGAAGGCCUUCGGGUUGUAAAGCCCUUUUGUCGGGAAAGAAAAGCAGCAGGUUAAUACCCCGCUGUUCUGACGGGACCCAAAGAAUAAGCACCGGCGAACUUCGU
Molecule: ribosomal RNA, 491 nt
Filed under: uncultured bacterium
Lineage: Bacteria
Description: partial 16S ribosomal RNA
Rfam family: Bacterial small subunit ribosomal RNA
Source: RNAcentral